Molecule: non-coding RNA, 26 nt
Filed under: Homo sapiens (human)
Lineage: Eukaryota; Metazoa; Chordata; Mammalia; Primates; Hominidae
Source: RNAcentral
CGGACCGGGGCGGCCCUUGUAUGGCA